Long non-coding RNA from Cicer arietinum (chickpea), 3923 nucleotides. RefSeq lists it as uncharacterized. Lineage: Eukaryota; Viridiplantae; Streptophyta; Magnoliopsida; Fabales; Fabaceae. The record is from RefSeq and is a predicted model, not a curated record.
AGCGACUUUAGACGGUAUAAAAAGCCACUGAAUAACUGAUGGAGGAGUCUAACACAACUAUAUACAAGCGUUUCGUUGGAGGGAUCGACAUCAAUGUUUUCAUCCCAAUCCCUAGCUUUUUCAAUCGCACGCUUCAAUGAAUUUCCUUCAAUCCAUUAAGCUAAGCAUUAUUCUUCUCUUCUCUUCCAAUUUAUUGCUAUGUUUUAUUUAUUUCAUCUCCAUCAAUUUCGUAUCAUUAACAGCUACAAAAUCAUAAAUAUAUUUAAAUUCUUAGAAUUUCAUUGCCUUCUAACAGAUCUAUUACACAUCAAUCUUCACUUGCAUUUAUCUGAUUCCAUUAAAUUUAGAUCUCAAUUUCGUCAUAAUUACCCUAAUAUCAUAUCGAGAUGACGAUUCUUAUUAAACACUGAUCACCGAUUAAUUUUACCUACACAUCAAUGCUUUAAUUUAAUAAUCCAUCUGUUUUACUUAAGGCUUUACACGAUAAUCUGUCACAUUUUUUUAUUGGUAUUUUUGUUACAUAGUUCUUAAAUCGGCGAUUCAUAUUAAGGUUUUGGUCUAAUUCGUCGUUAUAAAAUCAACUUUUGUGGGAUUUAAUUAGCCGUAAAACCUUACGUGAAAUCAAAGUUGAAUAUUAUAAUUGUCAUAUAUGGUUAGCAGUUUGGCUUUUAAUAAGUAAUAUUACCGAAUUCAGAACCGAAAUUGAUUGUAAUAUCGUAUUAAAAGCUGGGCAGUUGACCAUAGAUCAGAAAAGAGUUUAUAAUUAGGUUUUUUAGUUUAAUUAAACCUCAUAAAGCCAAUAUUGUGACGUUGAGUUAUGUCCAAAAACCUAAGAAUCUCUGCCAAAUUAAUUUUGAAGAGUUUUACAAUAAUUAUAUUUAUACUUGAUUUGUUGCAUUUUCACACUUUACUUUAAUAUGCACAACAAGGCACAAAACUGAACAGUUUAAUUACAUUUAUUAUUUUCAACAACCAUUGGUAACAUGCAUUAAAAUGAAAAAGCAUUUUUAGAUAAUUUGUCUUGCGAUGUUUUUUUAUUUCUUAUUUCAUUUUUAGAUGAUUAUGUCGAACACUAUUUGCUCUUUCUCAUCUAUAUCUUGUUGCUUUAAAUGCAAAUUACUGUUUUAGCUUCAUUUCAUUGUUGUUUAUUUUAACCACUGUAACUGAAAAAGUAAGGGAAAAAGAAUGCUUCAAUUCUUUUUGACGACAGAAACUGCAAGUAUUUGAUAAUGGAGAAAAAGGACUGCACACUGACAAUGUAAACCAAUUUUACACUAUCAGUUAAUAUGAGUCAUUGAUUGUAUGGUUAUACCACAUAAUUGUAACUUCCAUCAAUCAAUAAUCAAUCGUUCAUGUUAACUGUCAGUGCAUAGCUGUAUAGUGCAUAACCAUUAAACCCUUGAUAAUGACUAUUGAAGUCCUAUUUUCAAUAAUCUAUGGGUUUUAUUAAAUGGUUCACAUUCUGAGUUCCCAGUCUAAAUUUGAUUGCUUGAAGUCGGAAUGGAUUUGAUCUACAUCAAACAGUUUCCAUUUACUGACACCGUUUUAGUUAAGAUCGUGAAUUAAAUCUUAAGAUUGGACGAUCUUGCCAUAUUGCUCCUCUCAAGUGAGUCAUAUCACAUGUGAAAUCAUCUUUUGGGACGAUCAUGGUGGGAUCACGUGGAAGAUCGUUGAGAUUGUGAGAUAGAUUGAUCUCGCGUGAUUCCAAAAAUGGCAUUUUCAAGAUCCGGAAUGGACGAACCAGUUCCCCAAAAUGCAGCCAGACCACUGUGUUUCCACCGCCGUCACGUGGCCAGGCUUCUUGCUCCUCGAAUCUUCGUCUGUAGCGCAUAUGGUUCCAGCUCCGUUGAGCAGCCUAACAGAUCUACAUCACCAUUGCACUGUCUCCACAACACUUGAUGGAUGAACAAUACAAGGGAAAAAGGAAAAGAGAAGAAGAGGGACGGAAGAAGGAUGCUGCCAUGGUGGUAAUGGGAGAAGGAAAAAAGAUGAAGAAGAAGCACAGUGGCGCCUUUGAAAUAGGUAUACAAAGAAAACAAAGAAUUAGGGUUAUUUUUAAUGGGAUUAGUCCAAUAACAAAUAAAUGUGGUGAAAAAUAUUAAAACACUUUACAUAGGAAGGGUGUAUAAGUUCACAAUAAUAUUUGGCCCAGUGAUAUUAAAAUACUUAGAGUUUACUCAGUCAAUAGAAUUCUGACACACAAAAACCAUAUAAUAGGAUUCAUAUAUUGGUAGGAUCCUACAAUCCUUGUUACAAUUCCUAUAAUUUAUGAUUUUGCAAACCCCCUCACAAUUCUAGGUAUGAUCUUGAUCUGACCACCUUGAUUGACAUUGUGAAUGAGUGACUCCAAGAAAUCCAAGUCCAUCCAUAGGUAAACUAUAAUGGGUGCGUGCCCUGAUGAAGAGAUCAGUGGAGACAUUUGUUGCUUCCUCGGAAGAUACAGAGACUGAUUUGAAAUAUCAAAAAAUACACUUGCUGCCUGAAGAUUUCCAUAUACCAGCAUUCACUGUAAUGAAGAUUCAGGGCUGGAAUUGCAUAUUAGGAAUCUAGGAUGUAUAUGUGCAUUUCAUUCAUGGUCAUUUUGUUGAUGACAUGUGUUUCAUUUCUAGUUGGAGUACAUUGUUGAUAUAAACAUUUUCAUUAACUGCAAAGGUUGAAACUACUUUUAAUCAUACUAUUUCAUGCCAAAAUACUCUUCUUAUCACUGUCUCAAAAGGAUCAAGGUCAUAAGUUUGAUAGCUAAUUUUCAUUUCUUUUUGAAGUUAUUUUCUAUUUAAUCAAUUAGUCUAUUAGGGUCCAUGACAAUAUCCCUUGCAUAGUUGAACAUAUACUAAUGUGGCCUACAUGGUUUCAUGAUUUCUGCUACGGGUGUCUGUUUUUACGACUGCAGUUUCUUUUUUUAUCAGAUCUCUUGCCACAUGGUUUCAUUGAUUUUGGUACUCGUUUCUGUUUUUACGACUGCACUUUCUGUUUUUUUAUCAGACCCUCUUCCUACAUGAUUUUUACUACUGGUUUCUUUUUUUUUUGGACUGGAGUUUCUGCUUUUUAGAAUGUUUCUAGGUAGGGUAGGACUGCUAUUUCUGUUUUCUACAAGUUUUUGGUUUCAUAUUUUUGCAAUGGUUCCAAUUUGUUCAGACUAGUUUCAAUGGUUCAGAAUUGUGCAACACCUAUGUAGAGAAAAUUCAUUUAUUUUGGUUACCAAAUAUUUAAUAAGAUGCCUUUUAUUUUUAUAGGCAAAUGUUAGUAGUUAGUAAGUAUGUUGGGGGAAUGGGUAAUAUUAGUAGCAAGGAUUGAACUUUGGACCUUCUUCAUUCGCUGUCCCUAGGCAAACCAUAUAGGAUUGAUAUGGGGGAUUGGGUAGCUCAACUACUUUGAGCCGAGGGUUGAAGGAGUGCAGGAGUCGAAAGACCAGGUUCAAACCCAGGUGAAGGUGUAAAAAUGUUAAUUUAACUACCAACGAUUUUGCAUAAAAAGAAAAAUAUAUAUAGGAUUGAUAUGAUAUGACGAGUGAUAUUCGAUCACUUUAUGCAAUCUGCAAAUUAUGCAAAUUUGUCAUGACUGAUACUUAUGUUAUUUGUGCAGUCUUUACAUUAGGGAAUUUUGCACAUGCAUAGACUUACAGAAGGUGGUUGUCACAUGGUUGGUUUAAUCUGUUUGUUUGAGCAUAGAUGCCUAACAAAUAAUUAUGCAUCUGUUUUUUUCUUUGGAGAGGUUAUUGCAAGUUUAACUGGUUCAUACUUGUAGAGAUGCUUUUUAUUUUGUUGCAUAUGGAAAUAUUAUUCAACCGAUUUGCAUCAAUUUAUGUACUUUGAUACUGUUUUUUUAUACUACUACGUCCACUGAUUUAUGCUAAACUGGUUCAAAGUAAAACUGGUUUUAGCACAAGUGAAUGUUGGUAGUGGAAAAAUACCAAAUUUAUGUUA